GCUAACGAAGCAAAAUCUGGAAUCUGCGAAAGAUCUAAGCCCUUUUUAUAGAGGUUCAAAUCCUCUCGUUAACU
Molecule: transfer RNA, 74 nt
Filed under: Dendropsophus vraemi
Lineage: Eukaryota; Metazoa; Chordata; Amphibia; Anura; Hylidae
Description: tRNA-Leu
Rfam family: tRNA
About the family: Transfer RNA (tRNA) molecules are approximately 80 nucleotides in length. Their secondary structure includes four short double-helical elements and three loops (D, anti-codon, and T loops).
Source: RNAcentral